Molecule: transfer RNA, 84 nt
Filed under: Pleomorphochaeta sp.
Lineage: Bacteria; Pseudomonadati; Spirochaetota; Spirochaetia; Spirochaetales; Sphaerochaetaceae
Also listed under: 1 other name
Description: tRNA-Leu
Rfam family: tRNA
About the family: Transfer RNA (tRNA) molecules are approximately 80 nucleotides in length. Their secondary structure includes four short double-helical elements and three loops (D, anti-codon, and T loops).
Source: RNAcentral
GCCGAAGUGGUGGAAUUGGUAGACACAAGGGACUUAAAAUCCCUUGUCCUUUAGGACGUGCGAGUUCAAGUCUCGCCUUCGGCA